GGGCGUUCCCAAGUGGAAAUAUAAGAGUUCACCUGUUCCGGUUUCUCUUAUACCUUCAACAUGGAUCUUAAAGUCAUCUGCCUGCUCCUGGUCUUGUGUGCCUCUAUUGGCACCAUCAAAGGUGCCUUCCCUACAUGUUGUUUUCCUGGAACCACAAAAUUACCCAUUCGGUUGCUGCAGCAGGUGGAGAAAUAUUCCUAUCAGAGACCCAGUGCAUCAUGUGAAGCUGAAGCUGUUGUACUGCAUUUGAGAAACAAAAAAAAGAUAUGCGCUAAACCAAAGGUGUUGCUCAUACUGAAAAAGCACAAAAUACCGCAAAGGCAGGCAGAGCAUAUGCUGGGAUGGAUCCGGAAGUAAAGACUUUUGUCCAGAAUGUGCCACGUGUGGGGAGAGAGUGACAUCAUUGUUGUAUCUGAGCACUUUUCAUGGCUGUUGACAUAUCUGUGGGGUGUUUGGCGGUUCAUCUGCUAUUCUUUGUUUUUUUUUUCAUUCAUCUGUAUCAUUCCUUUUUGUUGAAAUGAACAACAUUUUCAUCUUGUUGCAGUAAAGCUUCAGGCAGGUCUAUGUAAGGAUUUUUCUGGUUGAAAAUGAAAAUGUUUAAUGUAUGUAGCAUGUGGAUACUCUCUGAAUAAAAGCAUAUUAAUCCUAACAAA
Molecule: long non-coding RNA, 653 nt
Organism: Brienomyrus brachyistius
Lineage: Eukaryota; Metazoa; Chordata; Actinopteri; Osteoglossiformes; Mormyridae
Exons: 3
Source: RefSeq, a predicted model, not a curated record